RNAcentral lists this ribosomal RNA (1314 nucleotides) under Mecodina praecipua. RNAcentral describes it as "16S ribosomal RNA". Lineage: Eukaryota; Metazoa; Arthropoda; Insecta; Lepidoptera; Erebidae. The record is from RNAcentral.
UAUAAAUAUAUUAAAUAUUUUAAUGGGGGUUAAAGUAUUUUAAUAGAAAAAAUUUAAAAUUUUAUAAUGAAUUAUUUAUUGUAUUGUGAAAGAAAUUUGAAAUAAUUAUGAAAAUAAAUUUAUUAAAAAGUAAUUUUAAUUUAGUGUAUCUUGUGUAUCAGAGUUUAUUAAAAAAUAUUUUUAGUGGAAAAAAAAUUCUCGAAUUUAAGAGAGAGAAUUAAUUAAAAAAGUUAUUGUUGCAUAAAUAUUUUAAAUAAUUAAUUUGAAAUGAAAUGUUAUUCGUUCUUAAAUAUAUCUAGUUUUUUUAGAAAAAAAUUAAAUUUUAAAUUUAUAUAAUAAUAAAUUAAUUUAUUAAUUUAUUAUUAUAUAAAUUGUAUAUUUUAAGGGAUAAGCUUUAAAUUAAAUUAAUAUAAUUAAAAAUUAAAUUUUUGAAAUUUAUAUAAUUUAUAUUGUUAAUAAAUUUUAAUUUAUUAUAAAUAAUUUCAUUUAAAAAUAAAAUUUAAUGUUAUAAUUUAUUAAUUUAUAAAAAAAUAAUUUUUAUUAAAAUAAUAUUAGUUAUAAUGAUAAAAUUAGUAUAUAAAUUGAAUAAAUUUAAUUAUGAAUUUGUAUAUAAAUUUAAGUUAAUUAUUUUUAAGGAAUUCGGCAAAUAUAUAUAUUCACUUGUUUAUCAAAAACAUGUCUUUUUGAAAAUAAUAUAAAGUCUAAUCUGCCCACUGAUAAAUUAUUGAAGGGCUGCAGUAUAUUGACUGUACAAAGGUAGCAUAAUCAUUAGUCAUUUAAUUGAUGACUUGUAUGAAGGAUUGGAUGAAAUAUAAACUGUCUUAAAUAUAAAAUAUAGAAUUUAAUUUUUUAAUUAAAAAGUUAAAAUAAAUUAAAAAGACGAGAAGACCCUAUAGAGUUUUAUAUUUAAUUAAAUUAUAUUUUUUUAUAAAUUAAAAAUUUUUAAUUUAAUUGAAUAUUUUAUUGGGGUGAUAAAAAAAUAAAAAUAACUUUUUUUAUAUGAAUACAUGAAUAAGUGAAAAUAUGAUCCAAUUUUAUUGAUUAUAAGAAAAAAUUACCUUAGGGAUAACAGCGUAAUUUUUUUUUUUAGUUCAUAUAAGAAAAAGAGUUUGCGACCUCGAUGUUGGAUUAAGAUAAAAUUUAAAUGCAGAAGUUUAAAAUUUUUGAUCUGUUCGAUCAUUAAAAUCUUACAUGAUCUGAGUUCAAACCGGUGUAAGCCAGGUUGGUUUCUAUCUUUUAAAAACAUAAAUAUUUUAGUACGAAAGGAUUAAGUAUUUAAAUUAAAUUUAAUUUUUUGAAUUUUAUUAAAUAAUA